AUGAGGAAGAUGAAGAA
RNAcentral lists this small RNA (17 nucleotides) under Arabidopsis thaliana (thale cress). RNAcentral's name for it is "ATSL240430". The record is from RNAcentral. Lineage: Eukaryota; Viridiplantae; Streptophyta; Magnoliopsida; Brassicales; Brassicaceae.